This is a non-coding RNA of Borealophlyctis nickersoniae, 72 nucleotides long. NCBI's taxonomy places the organism in Eukaryota, Fungi, Chytridiomycota, Chytridiomycetes, Rhizophlyctidales, Borealophlyctidaceae. The record is from the annotation of a GenBank genome assembly.
UCUGAUCUAGUUCAAUGGAUAGAAUAUCAGUCUCCAAAACCAGUAAAGUAGGUUCGAUACCUGCCAUCAAAU